Molecule: long non-coding RNA, 1552 nt
Organism: Topomyia yanbarensis
Lineage: Eukaryota; Metazoa; Arthropoda; Insecta; Diptera; Culicidae
Exons: 6
Source: RefSeq, a predicted model, not a curated record
CUAGGUUACUCCUCCUGCCCUAUAUGGUACACAUUGUCAAUUUAUCAUACCCUUCUUGUAAUGAUGUUCUGUACGUCCCACAAACAUCGCAAUAAAAAGCAAUCUCAAAACAGCCACAAGUUGACCAACACCGACAGAGCUUCUGAUAGACGCGGAAGUCUUGCAAAACCUUCCAGCAGCCUUAUAGCGUUAAAUCAUAACAUGGAAACACGCUACUUUGUUUCCUGUUGCAGGUCUGCCAAAACGCACUCCGAGAAGAGAAAGGGUGAAUUUUGUCUUUCGGUUGGAAGUAGGCAACCGUCAGUAGGAUUGUGCAAUUCACUAAAUCUCCUUGCACUAUGCGGUUGCAUCUUCCAGCAGCACCAGCGAUUUGCGGCGAAACUCAUUGUUCUUUGAUCUACUGCAAGAGGGUAAUUUGGGGUUUGAUUCGGCUAGGGCAUUUUCCGCCAUUCAAUUGUGGCAUAUUACGCUAUUUAUCAAGUACAUUAACUAGUGGACCGAACCGGUGAAACAUGUGCUGAUCGUCGACGUCUCUGUUCCAUCCAAAUCACGCGCUAAGACAGCCGCCGUCACCGGACCAAACAUCUCUAGAAGAUAAUACAUAGUUUUGGUGCAGGAGGGAAUCUUCUUUGCACAGUCAUUUUCAGCGCAUUUUCCCUGACGUAUUACGAAAUUGCAAAGCAAGGACGACACCAACAAAGAUUCUCGGAUGCUUGGCUACGAACUGAACCCGACAAAUGUAGCUAUGAAGAAGACGAGCAGCGUUGCGACGACGUUGACUGUCCGGCUCUCCCUGUUGGACGCGCUGGAUCUCGAGUAUGCACUGCACAGGGCCGUGUCUAACGGUUCGAAGGCAUUGUACCCCAUGAAGGAAUCAAAACGAUACAACAGAGAAUUGUCAGAACUCUCCCGAUUUGCAACAUUUGCAAGUUUUGCAACAGACGGAGAGAUCAUGUUACUUGUACGAAGUGGAAUGGGUUUAUCCCUCCCAAGGCUGAUUCGGUUGGUAUGCUUACGUCCAGACACCUAUGCACAGCACACAUCCAUAAAGGAUAGCAAGUAACAGCGAGCUCGCAAGGUUUCGGAUGCACAGAUCAACACUUUAAAAGGUGUGGAAGGAAAACAUGGAUACAAUUUCGUAAGACCUUAAGAAACUGCCAUUCUUAAAGAUCCAUCAUCCCUUAUGUUGUUCGCACUUCGAAUUUCGGUUCACACUUUAUGAAAUCUUCAGAAGGCAAUCCAGUUAUAUCGACGUGGUUAAAAUGCACUAAUACGUCGAGAGGACUACCGGUAGAAAGUACCAGCGCACUCGAGACGGUGCCAAGGAUUUACGUUAGUAGUGAUAUUGAAGAUCUGCGGGCUGUUGCCACGACCUGUCACGACUAUUCAAAGUGGGACCAGCUUGUGCGCUCAUGACAGCUUCGUUCGAGCACGGACCAUGGGAUAGAUACAUCAAAAUAAAACAAACACACCGUGGGAUACUAGGCUGAAACACACACUUGCACAUAACUGGAAGUCGGAUGCACCAUUUAUCAUACAAGCUAACAUGAUU